GGGCCCUGGGUAGGUUCCUGUGGUAUUAGGUGGACUGGAGAAAGAGGCCCGCGUGAAUUAAGUGUAGUUCUCUUAUGCACUGGCGGACUCUGGUCGCCCUUCCUUGUGAAGGCUGCCUGGGUAGCCGUAGAGGACGAGGCCACUCUAAAGCCUCGUUUUCCCAGCGGAAUUUUAACUAUUCUAAGGAUGUCCUUACAGCCAGUUCCCCACUCCGCUACUCAGAGUGUGUCAGACUUUACCCUGUCCAUUCAACUCCAGAAAAACCGGGAGGUCUAGAUUCGGAAGAUUAAAUUUACCUUUGAAUUAGGACAUGUAAAAUAGGAAGUUAAUAUUAGCAUCCUAAUGACAAAAGUUUUCUCGUUAUCAUACUUGACUCAAAUGGGAAUCUUACGGAUAUUAAUGUUUUUUCCAGAAACAGGUUUGAAAGGUAUUUCAAGGAUAAAUCUGGGGAAAGGGAUGGAAGCAACUGAUUUUUAAUUUUUAGAUAGUACUCUCAGAGCAUUUAUUUAGUCCAAAACUGUUAAUUUAAUGAAUUAGGCUAAACUAGACGCUGGGGUAACAAAGCUGAGUUAGAUACCCUCUCCUCUGAGGCAGCUAAAGAGAAGGAAAGUCUGGUGGCUGACAAGUAAACCAACAGUUAUGUUCUUCAGAGAGGAGAUCUCAGACUCUCUAAGCAAAAGAAACUAAUAGCUGUAUGACAACAGCCAAAGAGUAAAUAUCCUUUCAAGUCCAAUCCUGCCUAAGAUGUCAAAAUCAAGAAUGAAGAGGUUAUGUGCUGAAACAGAAUGACCUUCACAAGAUGCAGCCUCUGGAUCUUGGACUUCCCCAGCCUCCAGAACUUUACCAUUUAUUACAAGGAAAGAAUACAGACUAACAUCAGCCAAGGGAAGAAACACGUAAGGCAGAGUCCAAAAGGGUACCAAACACAGCGCUUUUGCUAUACUCUUCCAUUAUUUGCUGUACUUUCCCAGUGGAGUCAAGACAUGUUACCCUCCCAAAAUCCAUCCAUGACAAUAUGCAAUAUAGAAUUGCCAGUAACCCUUUUCCUGUUUGCCCUAAGAAUACUCACGAGUGGCACUUGCAGCUGCAGCAUUUACCUUGAGAUUACUUUGCUGAUAUUGUUUGAUGUGUCCCCCCCCCAAAUCUCAUGUUGAAUUCCCAUGUGUUGUGGGAAGGACCCAUGGGAGGUAAUUGAAUCAUGGGGGCAGGUCUUUCCCUGCUGUUCUUGUAAUAGUGAAUAAGUCUCACAAGAUCAGAUAGUUUUAAAAUGGAAGUUUCCCUGCACAAGUUCUCUUCUCUUGUCUGCUGCCAUGUGAGAUGUACCUUUCAACUUCUGCCAUGAUUGUGAGGCCUCCCCAGCCAUGUGGAAUUGUAAGCCCAUUAAACCUCUUUCUUUUGUAAAUUGCCCAGUCUUGAGUAUGUUGGAUCUGUUUGGAGGGCUCUGAAGAAGACAGGAAAAUGUGGGAAAGUUUGGAACUCCCUAGAGACUUGUUGAAUGGCUUUGACCAAAAUGCUGAUAAUGAUAUAAACAAUGAAACCCAGGCUGAGGUGAUCUCAGAUGGAGAUGAGGAACUUGUUGGGAACUGGAGCAAAGGUGACUCUUGUUAUGUUUUAGCAAAGAAACUGGUAGCGUUUUGCCCCUGCCCUAGAGAUUUGUCGAACUUUGAAUUUGAGAGACAUGAUUUAGGGUAUCUGGCAGAAGAAAUUUCUAAGCAGCAAAGCAUUCAAGAGGUGACUUGGAUGCUGUUAAAAGCAUUCAGUUUAAAAGGGAAACAGAGCAUAAAAGUUUGGAAAUUCUGUAGCCUGACAAUGUAGAAAAGAAAAUCCCAUUUUUUGAGGAGAAAUUCAAGCUGGCUGCAGAAAUUUGCAUAACUAAUGAGGAGAUGAAUGUUAAUCACCAAGACAAUGGGGAAAAUGUCUCCAGGGCAUGUCACAGACCUUUGUGGCAGCCCCUCCCACCACAGGCCCAGAGGUUUAGGAGGAAAAAAUGGUUUCGUGGGCGGGGCCCAGGGUCCCUCUGCUGUGUGCAGUCUAGGGACUUGGUGCCCUGCAUCCCAGCCACUCCAGCCAUAACUAAAAAGGAUCAAGGUGCAGCAUGGGCUUUUGCUUCAGAAGGUAGAAGCCCCCAAGCCUUGGCAGCUUCCACAUGAUUUUAAGCCUGUGGAUGCACAGAUAUCAAGAACUGAGGUUUGGGAACCUCCACCUAGAUUUCAGAGGAUGAAAGGAAAUGCCUGGAUGCCCAGGCAGAAGUUUGCUACAGGGGUGGGGCCCUCUGGGAGAACCUCUGCUAGGGCAGUGUGGAAGGCAAGUAUGGGGUCAGAGCCCCCACACAGAGUCCCUACUGGGGCACUGCAGAGGGGAGCUUUGAGAAGAGAGCCACUGUCUUCAGACUCCGGAAUGGUAGAUCCACUGACAGCUUGCACCGUGUGCCUGGAAAAGCUGCAAACACUCACCACCAGUCCAUGAAAGCAGCCAGGAGGGAGACUGUACUCUGCAAAGCCACAGGGACUGAACUGCCCAAGACCAUGGGAACCCACCUCUUGCAUCAUCAUAGUCUGGAUGUGAGACACGGAGUCAAAGGAGAUCAUUUUGGAGCUUUAAGAUUUGACUGCUGGAUUUUGGACUUGCAUGGGCCCUGUAACCCCUUUGUUUUGGCCAAUUUCUCCCAUUAGGAAUGGCUGUAUUUACCCAAUGUCUGUACCCCAUUGUAUCUAGAAAGAAACUAACUUACUUUUAGGUUUACAGGCUCAUAAACUGAAGGCACUUGCCUUAUCUUGGAUGAGACUUUGGACUGUGGACUUUUGAGUUAAUGCUAAAAUUAGUGAAGACUUUGGGGGACCAUUGGCUUGGUUUUGAAAUAGGAGGACAUGAGAUUUGGGAGGGGGCCAGAGGCAGAAUGACGUGGUUUGGCUGUGUCCACACCCACAUCUCAUCUUGAAUUCCCAUGUGUUAUGGGAGGGACCCAGUGGGAGGUAACAGAAUCAUGAGGGCAGGUCUUUCCCUGCUGUCACCAUGAUAGUGAAUAAGUCUCAUGAGAUCUGAUGGUUCUAAAAAGGAGAGUUUCCCUGCACAAGUUCUCUUCUUUUUCUGCUGCCAUGUGAGAUGUGCCUUUCACCUUCCACCAUGAUUGUGAGGCCUCCCCAGCCAUGUGGAACCAUAAGUCCAUUAAGCCUCUUACUUUUGUAAAUUGCCCAGUCCUUGGUAUGUCUUUAUCAGCAGUGUGAAAAUGGACUAAUGCAUUUGCCAUGAAGUAUCUUGCUUUUAUUAUUAUUUUCAUAUCACUCUAGUAUAUCAACUUUUGAAACAAAAGACAUUCUAUUUAUAGCAUUCAAAUUUUAGUAGUGGCAUUUCCAUUUGCAAAUAUAGUAAUUCUGUAUUGCUGAAAAUGUCAAAUCCUAGAAAAUGAAGCAUUCCUACAUGUGAUGUUAACAUCAUUCUCAAACAGUUGUUGGCUGAA
Molecule: long non-coding RNA, 3457 nt
Filed under: Homo sapiens (human)
Lineage: Eukaryota; Metazoa; Chordata; Mammalia; Primates; Hominidae
Description: non-protein coding lnc-SLF1-10:2
Source: RNAcentral